Molecule: ribosomal RNA, 253 nt
Filed under: uncultured bacterium
Lineage: Bacteria
Description: partial 16S ribosomal RNA
Rfam family: Bacterial small subunit ribosomal RNA
Source: RNAcentral
GACGAAGGGGGCUAGCGUUGUUCGGAAUUACUGGGCGUAAAGAGCACGUAGGUGGUUGGAUAAGUCAGAUGUGAAAUCCCCGGGCUUAACCUGGGAACUGCAUUUGAGACUGUUCAGCUAGAGUUUAGUAGAGGGAAGUGGAAUUCCACAUGUAGCGGUGAAAUGCGUAGAGAUGUGGAGGAACACCAGUGGCGAAGGCGGCUUCCUGGACUAAAACUGACACUGAGGUGCGAAAGCGUGGGGAGCAAACAGG